This 304-nucleotide ribosomal RNA is filed under the name uncultured bacterium. RNAcentral's name for it is "partial 16S ribosomal RNA". It matches the Rfam family "Bacterial small subunit ribosomal RNA", at positions 506 to 809 of the family's 1533-position model. The record is from RNAcentral.
CAGCAGCAGCCGCGGUAAUACGUAGGGUGCGAGCGUUAAUCGGAAUUACUGGGCGUAAAGCGUGCGCAGGCGGUUCGUUAAGACAGAUGUGAAAUCCCCGGGCUUAACCUGGGAACUGCAUUUGUGACUGGCGAGCUAGAGUAUGGCAGAGGGGGGUAGAAUUCCACGCGUAGCAGUGAAAUGCGUAGAGAUGUGGAGGAAUACCGAUGGCGAAGGCAGCCCCCUGGGCCAAUACUGACGCUCAUGCACGAAAGCGUGGGGAGCAAACAGGAUUAGAUACCCGCGUAGUCCCUGUCUCUUAUAA